This is a long non-coding RNA of Mugil cephalus (flathead mullet), 1035 nucleotides long. RefSeq lists it as uncharacterized. Lineage: Eukaryota; Metazoa; Chordata; Actinopteri; Mugiliformes; Mugilidae. The record is from RefSeq and is a predicted model, not a curated record. The transcript has 3 exons.
AAUAUUCACCCAUAGAGAAGUGGCAAUAACAGAGAAUAAAAUUGGAUUUAAAGUUAAAAUAUGCCACGGUGCUCAGCCCUACGGCUCCAGCACGGGAUUAGGAAAACACGGGGGAAACGCCACAAUUUCCCCCAGUGAACAAAAACGGAGAAAGAUGUGGAAGCAGAAAGACGAACUGGACAUCAACUGAUUUCUCCGUUGUGUGAGCAGAGAUGUGACACCAUCGCUCAACACUUCUUGGGGUCGUGAUGAAGGAACUCUCCGGAGUCGUCACUCUAUCAGUCCCUUCGUUCUGAACGAGCAGAGGAUGAAGAGGCCUCGCGCGGUAGCGAGGGGAGAGGAAGAUGCCGUCCCUCCGCGAGAUUCAAAACGCUCUGACAGAGUGGGAGAGGACCAUUAAGUGGUGUGUUAUUUACACAUCAUAAGCCAGUCUAUUAUAUUGACAUCCAGACGACCCGGUCCUCCGCUGCUCCGUGCGCGGCCGGCGAACGGCCUCGCUCUCUGUUUGCUCUCAACACCCGCAUGCUGAUUGGGUGAUUUUCCUGAUAUGACAUUCCAAUGGUCUGGACUAUGUACAAGAUCCUUUCGUCUGAAAAUGGUCCGAAAGCAUUCAUUACCCGCCGAGAAAUGAGACAAAAGGUCAAGAAAGCGAUGUGACGGGGUGGAGCCACGCGAAGUAGAGGUGGGGUUUACAAUCCAAUUGGGGAUUAAGUUAUCUCUUAUAUCUCUUACUUACAAUAAAUCCACACGUCUCCAUCAGAAAUGUCUUGUUUAAACUGUAGACGAGCGUGAAGCAAAUGUUUGACUUUAUUUAAAAUUCAUUGUUCAGUAUUACGUUGCCCGGCCGGGGUGAGCCCUGAGAUUGCGAGAGGUGAGCAGACAGCCUGUGUAUUUUUUUUUUAUUCUGAUCCAGGAAUUGCAGAAUUGCCAUCCGGUUGUUGUCCUCCGCACCAUUCUGCCAUUUACCGAAGGCAUCAAAAUAUUUGACAUCCUAUAAUGGGAUCGCAUCCAGAGCAAUUCCUGUAACUACUGUUG